Molecule: ribosomal RNA, 421 nt
Filed under: uncultured archaeon
Lineage: Archaea
Description: partial 16S ribosomal RNA
Rfam family: Archaeal small subunit ribosomal RNA
Source: RNAcentral
CUACGGGUGGCAGCAGUUAGGUAUAAUCUACAAUGCGCGCAAGCGCGAUAGUUUGAGCCAGAGUGCGUUUCUAUUGAAAUGCUUUUGCCGAGUGUAAAAAGCUCGGCGAAUAAGGACUGGGUAAGACAGGUGCCAGCCGCCGCGGUAAUACCUGCGGUCCAAGUCGCAGCCAUUUUUAUUGGGUCUAAAACAUCCGUAGCUUGCUUGACAAGUUUCUUGUGAAAUAUUAUGUCUUAAACAUAAUGCGGGCAAGAAGUACUAUUAAGCUAGAGACUGGGAGACGUAAAGAGUACGUUCAAAGUAGCGGUAAAAUGCUUUAAUCUUGGACAGACUAACAACAGCGAAGGCACUUUACGAGAACUGUUCUGACAGUAAGGGAUGAAGGCUAGGGGCGCGAAACGGAUUAGAUACCCUCGUAGUC